Molecule: long non-coding RNA, 464 nt
Filed under: Mus pahari (shrew mouse)
Lineage: Eukaryota; Metazoa; Chordata; Mammalia; Rodentia; Muridae
Description: predicted gene 42802 (MGP_PahariEiJ_G0002475.1)
Source: RNAcentral
AGAGGUCAGCUCCUAGGCAGGGAUCUUGCCUCUUUGCUGCCUGCGGCCAGGACUAAGCAAGAGCCAGCCCCCCACCCCACCCCCGGCCGUGCAGAAAAGACUCCACUGGAGACGCAAAUCGCUCGUCCGCGCCGCCGCUGCCGCUGCCGCCGCCGCCUGCGUCGCCGGGGUGAGAGGCGCACGAUCCGAGCGCACUGCGGAUUCCGCCCGAGGCUUCUAGCACCCAAGUAAUUCGCUCCGAACUCUCCGGAACCCUCGGAGCCGGCGCCCCUCGCCCGCGCGCCCCUCUCACGGUGCCGCAGCCGCCACCGCUGCGCUCAAGUCUGGACCCAGAUGUUUCCAGCAGCAGCGCCGUCCAGUAAUUACGAGGGCUCGACUGGCGCCGAGUGUGCCCGGCCGGCAUCCGAGGACCGACCUCCUCCAGCCGAGCCCUUCACACCUCCCUUUUUCCUAGCGCUUUCCCG